AUUGAACGCUGGCGGCAGGCCUAACACAUGCAAGUCGAACGAGUGGCGGACGGGUGAGUAAUGUCUAGGAAACUGCCCGAUGACGGGGGAUAACUACUGGAAACGGUAGCUAAUCCCGCAAACCAUCGGAUUUGCCCAGCUGGUAUUAGCUAUUAGGUGGGGUAAAGGCUAACCUAGGAGACGAUCCCUAGCUGGUCUGAGAGGUUGACCGGCAAAACUGGAACGGAGACAGGGUCAAGACUCCUACGGGAGGAAGCAGUGGGGAAUAUUGCACAAUGGGCGAAAGCCGGAUGCAGCAAUGCCGCGUGUAUGAAGAAGGCCUUCGGGUUGUAAAGUACUUUCAGCGGGGAGGCGUUACCCGAAGAAGAAGCACCGGCUAACUCCGUGCCAGCAGCCGCGGUAAUUC
Molecule: ribosomal RNA, 406 nt
Filed under: uncultured bacterium
Lineage: Bacteria
Description: partial 16S ribosomal RNA
Rfam family: Bacterial small subunit ribosomal RNA
Source: RNAcentral